AUGGAAAAGAAAAAACAAUGCAUUAACCAAAUACGUGAUGCACUUGCUACUGAAAAUUACAACGAGUGCACAUCAAUUAAGCUAAAGAAUUUGCAAAGAAUGCCUACCACAAGGGACAGAAUCUUCACUGAACUGAAAUUGCUCUUUACAAUGGUGUUUCAACUAAUACCACUAUUUUCUAUGUACUAUAAGUUCUUAAUUCUUUUAUUUUACAAUAGAGAGGAUUUUUUGGUCUAUUGGUACAUAUGCUUUAUGUCUUCCAGAUUCCACCAAGAUUAUGAUAGGACUUGGAGUUACAGGUAA
This 303-nucleotide ribosomal RNA is filed under the name Triticum aestivum (bread wheat). Its description in RNAcentral is "partial small subunit ribosomal RNA". Lineage: Eukaryota; Viridiplantae; Streptophyta; Magnoliopsida; Poales; Poaceae. The record is from RNAcentral.